UAUCACUUGCCAAUUUUUUUUUAGGUUUUAAAGAAAACUAGCAUCACCAAAAAAAAUAAAAUUAAACUAAACACAAGUAAUAGAUUUUCAGUGUUUUAUUCAAUGGUGUAAAUUCCAGAGUAGUGCCAGUUCUACUUUAAGCAAAUAAAACUGAAUGCUCCAGCAACUGAGAAAUGCCUAAAAGGGACAUUCCAGGCUGUAGCUUUCUAGACAACAUAUUUAAAAAUAAAUAAAAAUAAAGCACAUACCCAGCCUUCCUCUUCCCCCAAUAGGAUGAAGUGAAGGUUAAUCCAGACAUGGAAUCCCUUGCUCACUGUGUUCAGAGGGGUACAACUCACACCUCACUAAAAAGGCCCAGAAAGGCCAAAACCAUCAUGUCUGGGUUGUUGCAUUUCUCGUGUAGAGGGAACUUGCAAGCAUUUUGGAUCUGGACUGCCCUUCUAAAUGAAUCACAGUGCAAUAUGCAGAUCAUUCUGUUCUCUAUAGAAUAACACAAGUGAGCUAAAACUAGUUUGAGACCUGAACAGGGAGUCACUAAAAAGGCAAGCUAUUCAGUGUUCUGAGAGCAGGCUUUCAGGAUAAGAAAAUGGCUUACAUUUUUGGGUUUAAAUAAAUAACACUUAAGAAUGAUGACACAGAUGCUCAAGUCCUACAGAAAGUUAAGAAACAGGGGCUAUAGUAACGGCUACAUACUUUAAGGGAUAUUUCAGUAUUUACAUAACGCACUGGAACAGGGGUAGGCAUUAUUCAGCAUUGCCAAUUAUGAUGUUCCAACUGUCUGAGCCAAGUCUUUUAAGUAAUAAUUUAUAGGCAUUGAAUCAGUUGACCUGCACAGACACCAUCAACUUUUUACUGAAUUCGUGACAUUACAUACAUCAGUAUGUCUGUAGCAUGAAUGGAAACACUGCAAGUGUAAAAACACCCACCACAACUAACCUACAUACUUCACAUAAAGUGGUGGUGCUUGGCUUGCGCUAUUAAGCAGAAGACAAAUAUUUUGUUUAUACCAAGUCUACAAAAAUAUGAGCAGGUAAAUCUUAUGAGUUUUUAAAUCUGAGCUGGGUCAAAACAUCAGAUUAAUGGUUUCUGAUUACAAAACCAAAAGUAACUCACAUUUAGCAUGCUUAGACAGGAUUGCAGAUGGUGUAGUACUUCUUGCAAUUCCAGUUCAAGUAUUGCAAUCCAGCUUGAAUGAGAUAAUGUCUAUAUAUUCGAUAUUAAUAAAAAAAAGUUUUGUAGAUUCAUCACAAAAUGAUUCUUACUAAUGUGAUCACAUUAGAAGCCAAUGGCUCAAAGAUAAACUGGAAUAAAUUACAC
Non-coding RNA from Pelobates cultripes (western spadefoot toad), 1317 nucleotides. Lineage: Eukaryota; Metazoa; Chordata; Amphibia; Anura; Pelobatidae. The record is from the annotation of a GenBank genome assembly.